Molecule: ribosomal RNA, 528 nt
Filed under: Salmonella enterica
Lineage: Bacteria; Pseudomonadati; Pseudomonadota; Gammaproteobacteria; Enterobacterales; Enterobacteriaceae
Description: bacterial SSU rRNA
Rfam family: Bacterial small subunit ribosomal RNA
Source: RNAcentral
GUAAUGUCUGGGAAACUGCCUGAUGGAGGGGGAUAACUACUGGAAACGGUGGCUAAUACCGCAUAACGUCGCAAGACCAAAGAGGGGGACCUUCGGGCCUCUUGCCAUCAGAUGUGCCCAGAUGGGAUUAGCUAGUUGGUGAGGUAACGGCUCACCAAGGCGACGAUCCCUAGCUGGUCUGAGAGGAUGACCAGCCACACUGGAACUGAGACACGGUCCAGACUCCUACGGGAGGCAGCAGUGGGGAAUAUUGCACAAUGGGCGCAAGCCUGAUGCAGCCAUGCCGCGUGUAUGAAGAAGGCCUUCGGGUUGUAAAGUACUUUCAGCGGGGAGGAAGGUGUUGUGGUUAAUAACCGCAGCAAUUGACGUUACCCGCAGAAGAAGCACCGGCUAACUCCGUGCCAGCAGCCGCGGUAAUACGGAGGGUGCAAGCGUUAAUCGGAAUUACUGGGCGUAAAGCGCACGCAGGCGGUCUGUCAAGUCGGAUGUGAAAUCCCCGGGCUCAACCUGGGAACUGCAUUCGAAACU